UCGAAACGAGAAGAGACCGAAGGCGAACAGACAAGAGCAACACCAAAAGCACAGUUUGUGUUGCGUGUGACGAUACAUACGAAGAGAGAGGCUCCUUCCGUGGAGAGCGCGUGCGCCUCUCUCUUUUUCUCUCUCGUUGUCUUCUGCUCUCCGCCCCGCCACGUUGUCUUCGCCUUCCCUCUUCGGGCGUGUCUGCAUUCGUGCGUCUUGGCGUGCGCGGUCCCGCUCUUCUCCUUUCCUCGCUCUUUUGCCCCUUUCCCUGCGGUUUCGCCUGCUUCUGUUCAUCCUUUUCUUCUCUCCUCCGCCGUUUGGUCUGAUGCCGUCCGGCGUCGCCCCGUCCCUCGCUGGCCAGCCGCCACCCUCGCGCUUGGAGGCGCCCCACAUAAGCGACAAGAGCACCGCACCAGCGCUGCCCCCCCGGGCCAAUGACACCAAGAACGCACCGCCGGCGAAUUCGAAUCCCAUGAAGCAGAUGACGCGUGUGAGGCUGAACCCGACGACGCGCGUCGCCUCGGUGCCAAUGUCGCUGGUGCCGCCGUACGUGGACGUGCCCCCGGGCAACGGCUUUCGGGCCGGCUUCGUGCCGCGCGCCGCGACGACCACGCCUACCUCUGCGCCACAGACCCACAGUGACCAUCACCAGGUGGUUGAGGCCGUGCAGACAGCCUAUGAGAAGACGGAGGCUCACCUCAAGGCGAUCGAGGCAAAGCUGAAUCUCCUGCACGAAGAGAUGCAGCAAACGCCGUCACCGGCGAUGUCGCGCGAGGCACCGACGGAGACGCUGAGCAGCAAUGCGACAGCCCAGAAUGUGCUCGACUCUCUCGCCCCCAUCGCGACAACCGGUGCGUCAGGCAGCAAGGCCGCGGCGAAUCAUCAUCUGCAGCCGAUUCCGUCUGCAAUGGCGACGUCGCUCCCGCCCGUCCCACUGACACCGACGCCGAGGCCGACCGGAGUAGCGAGGUCGAAGAUUUCCGCUGCCGCGGCAGCCGUCAUGGAACCCCUCGCCACUGCUGCAGCUGCUGCAUCAGCCACUGCGAGAGCUGACCGGCAACGUGACCUGCUACACCCUCACUUCUUCGUCGACGACGCUGACAUGCUCGACACCCCCCACGCCAGCAUCGGCAGCAACUCGUCUUCGAACGAGUCCAGCGACAGCAGCAGUGAUGCAGGUCACGCGUUGCCGAAUGGUGCGCGCCCACCCGCCCAGACGCCGGCUGCGGCUACAGACUGCAGCGAGCCCAGCAACAGGACAGCGGCUCCAGCGCGGCAGAGAGUCGACCUCAAAGAUGUCUCGCAUGCGAACGCGUGGUCCUCGGCUGACGCCGCUAGUGAUCGCCGGGCGAUGAGGUUCAGCGAGGGAGGUGAAAGAACGAGGACAGCACACGCCUUUCCUGCUUCGCUGUCGUCGACCACGCCGCCUGCCCACAGGGGUUCCACCUGUGGCACCGGAGAGACAGGCGAGGUGGUGGCAGUGGGUCGUGAGUUUCGCCAAUCCUCCACACAGGCGAGUACGAUGACAGGUGCGAAGGCGUGCUUCUCUGUUGGAGAGUCUGUCAACCACGCGGUCGACAGCGCCCAGGCUGUCGACGGGCUCAGGAGCGUGACGCGCCACCAAGCUAAGGUCGUGAAGCACGUACGAGAAAACUUCUUCGCGCCGAUCCCACGCUUCGAUGAUGUGCUUCCGCGCAACAAGGCGGGUCUGUUUGACAAGCACGACGUCGAAAAGCUACUUCUACCCGGCGCUCCGUGCUCGUGGCUGUGCUGUGCGUCGCUGGCCAUCAGCUACGUGUCGGGGGUGCCGACGCCCGUGGAGAAGGUGCUGCGUGCAAACCGCAUGGGUGUGCACUACAUCUCCUUGCCUACCAUCACGCUGGCGGAGCUCUUCGACGUCGUGAGCGACUACAUCCACAUCUGCUACCACCGCACCGCGGUGCAUAACAGCAGCUGCACGGAGGACGAAUUCGAGGACGACGAGGAGGCGGCGCGGUGCCUGAGUGAGGACGAAUUAAGGCAGCUGGCGCACGUUCACUGCGAAAUGGCCACCUUCGACAAAGAAGUGCUAGACCCGGAGUCUGGCGAGGACAUGCAGGGCAUGGGUGAGCACCCUCCCAUCACGAACCCGACACAGCUCCGCAAGGAGCUGCUGCUUCACCUUGGAGAGGAGAAGUCGAUGUACAUUUUCUACUACAACCCACACGUGCUGGAGCAGGCCCAGCUGCGGCUGCGCAGCAACCAGUGCGACACCGAGGAGGAGGCGGCCGCGAUUAUGGCGACCGCCCGCUUUUCCGCCAACGCGGCCGGCCUGUUCGGCAUUCUGCUGGACUUUGACCCCGUGUGCCACGAGGUGAAGGUGCUGACACCGUACCUUUCUGCGGAGCAGCGUCCGCUGCACUUCAAGGGCGACGAGGGCGUGGUGAGCGAGGACGAGGAGGGGGGCCACGCGCGGCACAACAUUCGCCGUUUUGCCAGCACCUUUUCGAACCUCGUGAUGGAGGAGCAGCUGGUGAGCCUGCACGCACUCUACGAGUCGGUUCAGCCGGCGGACAAGUACUUGGGCCUCUCGCGCGGUUUUGUGCGCGUCUUCAAGAGCGAGUCUUUCCCGCCAAAGGUGCCGUCCAUGUUCCCACUCUUUGUGCUGGACGGCAGCAGCGCCGGCGGCCUCAUGACAAGUGUGCUGGACGUGAAGAUUGCGCCGCACGUUCUGGGCCUCGCCAUGCUGCACCACCUCUCGGUGACUUUCCUCCUGACGGACUCAGCGCGUCGCAAGCAGAGUAGCCGCAAUCUGCUUGGCAAGACGAACGUAUGCGACGUCAAGCUGCGCGGCAUUCCGCUGACGAAGGUGUGCCAGCAGCUGCGGCUGCCGCUGUCCAUGAUUGUGUGUGAAAGUAACAAAGGCUCCAUCGAGAUGGCAUACGUGUGGUAUCACGUCUUCCUCCAGCAGCUGCAGAUCGACCAGGACGUGCGCAUCGGCCUCAUCCUACCUUCCCGUCGCGAUGGCGCCGCAGAUGGGCAGCCCAACAUCACCGAUACUCAGUUUGUCCAUCAUCUGCGGCUCAUGGUCGAGUCGAAGAGCGUGAUGCUCAUCAGCUUCGACAUCAACAUCGCCUUGAACGUGCGCAUCGAUGCCAGGAGCGAUCCGGCGCACUUUGCGAUCGUCAUCGGCGUGGAUGAGGAGCGCGGCGUUGUUCGGCUGGCGGAUGUGAACGUGAAGCGGUUCCGCAAGACGUGGCACAUUCCGAUCUCGCGCCUGUACAACGCCGUCAUGGGCUACGGCUAUAUCGUUGCUUCGAAGAGUAGGAAGGUCAUCAAAUCCCUAAAGGGGAAGCACUUCCACGAGAACGCGCUUCAGCGCGCGCGCAACUUCCUACCCCCGCCAACUCCGGCGGCGUACCAGCGCUUCGAGUACCCCUCCUGCCCGUACCCGCUGACCGUGCUGGCCGAUGCCGUAGAACGAUUGGGCUUCGCGGGAACGAACGUGGAGCGCUUUCUCAACUUCUGCGGCUUCCACAUCUCCUACUUCUUAUCACCGAAUAUGCCGCUCGAGGGGGCCGCGCUUGUGAUCCAGAACUACUCCCACUACGCCCUCGAUGACGCUGUGAGCGUGACGACGACGCACUACGACUUCUACGAGGGGAACCUACCGCCUAAAGAGGAGGCCGCUGAGGCGGACGGGACGCCCACAUACCCGGUGCGUUCAGAGGCGGACCUACUGGAGUCUAUUCAGUAUGCCAUCGCCGAGCCUGAAAAGCGCAAGCUGAUCGUGAAGUACGACGUGAAUGUUCUGCAGGCGGAUGAGACCGUGUGGAACGGUAAAAGUGGCAACAGCUUCGCUUUUGUCAUGGACUACGUGGCGUCGAAGAGGAUGGUAGUGCUCUCCGAUGCGAGCCCGUCCUCCUUCUACCGCUCUUUCGCCUGCCCCUUGGCGGUGCUGUUUAAGGCCGUGUGCAGCUGGGACAGUGUCAGCCUCCGCGCGCACGGGACGAUUCUGCUGACAACGGAGGUGACGCAGGAGUCGGUGCACGAGGACACGAAGGGCUACGACAUGGCACACGCCCUCGUGCACCACCCCUUCAAGCCCAUGUUCUCAGCGGUCUGCUCCUGCCUGGCACUCGCGUCGACGGAGAUGAUGAUGAACAUCGAGACCCCCAGGCUUCUCGGCGGCGCCCCGAUCAGCGUCGAGGAUGAUGAUGGGAAGUACAAGCGCUACAACAACAUAUUUUCCGCCGAGGACUUCCUUUACGCACUGCCCUCCUUCAGCGUGUGUGAAUGGCGUAUGCAGGCGGUGGACAUCCAGGACAUAGGAAGCAUGGCCAACAGUGCGUUCGCGAAGCUGAAGCUGCCGCUGCGCGCCGUGGAUGUGCUUCAGGAGCAGGGGUCCGACUCUAGCACCGACCCGAAAGCGCUGCUGCGCGCCUGCAGCGGUAUCAGCGGUCUACAGACUAUCACCCUCGUCACCUACGAUGCGGGCAUGCUGCACGGCGCUCCAGGCUCAUCCGCGGGCCUCGUGAACCGUGUGCGCCUUUUCGACGACGAGAACGAGGAGGCGACGGCGAAGCCGAUAGUGCCAGGCGCGCCGAAGAACAGCGUGGGCUCCGUGCAGUUGCUGGAGGGCGAUCCGUGCCGCUGGGGCGCGUGCUUCGAGCGCUCUGCCGAGGAGCUAAUGCGCGCCAUCAAGGGCAUCUAUCGCGUAGAGGAGGCCAUGGAAAAGGACGCGGAUGGAUGACGUGGUGGUGAGGUGAGUUGAUGGCGGCUAUAGAUCAUUUUUUUUUUGCUUUUCCAUUUUUUUUUCGUUUUUCUUGUGCUUCGCUAUCCGGGUCUCCGUGCUCACCAUGUACAGCCUUCUUCCCUUGCUCAACCACGAUACGUUCCCUGUUGUUCUUUGCUUUAUUGGACUGCUGCUUUCGCUCAUGCCCCCCUCCCCCUCCCCAUCUCCCCCAUCUCUCGCUCUCUCUGUCGUCGCUGCUUCGGCUUCUAUGCGUCGGCAUCCGCCAACUCUACCGUAAAGCCAAAGGGGGCAAAGAAGGCAUGCGACGGUGGGGGCUCCGUUGCCCGAGUCUCUCACUCUCUCUCCUUUAUUCUCUGUGGUCUAUUUCUUGCGCUUGUGUACCCUCUCUGGCUUUUAGACGCCACAGGUGCUUCGCUGCGUUUGCCUCCACUUAGUGUUUUCUUGUUCUCCCUUUCGAUGUCUCCUGUGCGGAUGAGUGCGGUGUUGGUGUGUGCGUCUGUGUCUUGGGGAGGGGGACUCAGCGAAUGUACACCAUCCGCCCUUCUCCUUCCUGUCCCUCCUCUGCUCGCCCGUGUGUCUUUCGCUGGCUUUGCCUCUCGUCUGUUGUUCUUUCGCCUUUUUUGUUUGUGCGCUGUUGGCCCUCCCUUCCUCGGAAGCGGCCCAG
Molecule: unclassified non-coding RNA, 5390 nt
Filed under: Leishmania donovani
Lineage: Eukaryota; Euglenozoa; Kinetoplastea; Trypanosomatida; Trypanosomatidae
Description: gene:LdHU3.18.1650(CDS-product:hypothetical_prote in_conserved)
Source: RNAcentral